UUUGUACUAAAGCCGAACAUCUUCACGGCUGUUAUACGCACCCGAAGAUAAGAAGUUCAACCACGAAGGUAGCUUUAUUUAAUCUGAACCCACGAAAGCUACGGCACAAACUGGGAUUAGAUACCCCACUAUGCCUAGCCCUAAACAUUGAUAGUAUACUACACCCACUAUCCGCCUGGGAACUACGAGCAUUAGCUUAAAACCCAAAGGACUUGGCGGUGCUUUAGAUCCACCUAGAGGAGCCUGUUCUAGAACCGAUAACCCCCGUUCAACCUCACCUUUCCUUGUUUUCCCCGCCUAUAUACCGCCGUCGUCAGCUUACCCUGUGAAGGUCUAAUAGUAAGCAAAACUGGUAUAACCCAAAACGUCAGGUCGAGGUGUAGCGUAUGGGAAGGGAAGAAAUGGGCUACAUUCGCUACUACAGCGAAUACGGACGAUGCACUGAAACGUUCAUCUGAAGGAGGAUUUAGCAGUAAGCAGAAAAUAGAGUGUUCCGCUGAAAUUGGCCCUGAAGCGCGCACACACCGCCCGUCACUCUCCCCAAGCCCACCAACCUAAUUAACUAAACCCUAAUAAUCGCAAAGGGGAGGCAAGUCGUAA
Molecule: ribosomal RNA, 600 nt
Filed under: Anarhichas denticulatus (northern wolffish)
Lineage: Eukaryota; Metazoa; Chordata; Actinopteri; Perciformes; Anarhichadidae
Description: partial 12S ribosomal RNA
Rfam family: Bacterial small subunit ribosomal RNA
Source: RNAcentral